AAAUAUUCCAUUACUUCUGUGUAAUGCGAUGAGAGGACGGAGAAGGCUAAAUCAGCCUGGCGUUGGUUGUCCAGGUGAAAGGAUGUAGGCAUGUAUCUUAGGCAAAUCCGGGGUACUCUAUGCUGAGAUCUGAUAGCAAGCUGUACUUGUAUAGCGAAGUGGUUGAUGCCAUGCUUCCAGGAAAAGUCUCUAAGCUUCAGUUACACAGGAAUCGUACCCGAAACCGACACAGGUGGUCAGGUCGAGUAGACCAAGGCGCUUGAGAGAACUCUGCUGAAGGAACUAGGCAAAAUGGUACCGUAACUUCGGGAGAAGGUACGCUGUUGUUGGUGAUGGAACUCGCUUCCUGAGCUGACGACAGCCGCAGAAACCAGGCCGCUGCAACUGUUUAUUAAAAACAUAGCACUCUGCAAACACGAAAGUGGACGUAUAGGGUGUGAUGCCUGCCCGGUGCUGGAAGGUUAAUUGAUGGGGUUAGCGUAAGCGAAGCUCUUGAUCGAAGCCCCAGUAAACGGCGGCCGUAACAAUAACGGUCCUAAGGUAGCGAAAUUCCUUGUCGGGUAAGUUCCGACCUGCACGAAUGGCAUAAUGAUGGCGGCGCUGUCUCCAGCAGAGGCUCAGUGAAAUCGAAAUCGCUGUGAAGAUGCAGUGUACCCGCGGCUAGACGGAAAGACCCCGUGAACCUUUACUGCAGCUUGACACUGAACUUUGACCUUACUUGUGUAGGAUAGGUGGGAGGCUUUGAAGCUGGAACGCUAGUUCCAGUGGAGCCGUCCUUGAAAUACCACCCUGGUAAUGUUGAGGUUCUAACUCUGUCCCGUGAUCCGGGACGAGGACCGUGUCUGGUGGGUAGUUUGACUGGGGCGGUCUCCUCCUAAAGAGUAACGGAGGAGUACGAAGGUGCGCUCAGCGUGGUCGGAAACCACGCGUAGAGUAUAAAGGCAAAAGCGCGCUUAACUGCGAGACCCACAAGUCGAGCAGGUACGAAAGUAGGUCUUAGUGAUCCGGUGGUUCUGUAUGGAAGGGCCAUCGCUCAACGGAUAAAAGGUACUCUGGGGAUAACAGGCUGAUACCGCCCAAGAGUUCAUAUCGACGGCGGUGUUUGGCACCUCGAUGUCGGCUCAUCUCAUCCUGGGGCUGAAGCAGGUCCCAAGGGUAUGGCUGUUCGCCAUUUAAAGAGGUACGCGAGCUGGGUUUAGAACGUCGUGAGACAGUGCGGUCCCUAUCUACCGUGGGCGCUGGAAAUUUGAGAGGAUCUGCUCCUAGUACGAGAGGACCAGAGUGGACGAACCUCUGGUGUACCGGUUGUGACGCCAGUCGCAUCGCCGGGUAGCUAUGUUCGGAAGGGAUAACCGCUGAAAGCAUCUAAGCGGGAAGCCUACCUCAAGAUAAGAUUUCCCUAGGACUUUAUGUCCUCUAAAGAGCCGUUCGAGACUAGGACGUUGAUAGGUUGGAUGUGGAAGCAUGGUGAUAUGUGAAGCUGACCAAUACUAAUUGCUCGUGAGGCUUGACU
RNAcentral lists this ribosomal RNA (1513 nucleotides) under metagenome. RNAcentral describes it as "bacterial LSU rRNA". It matches the Rfam family "Bacterial large subunit ribosomal RNA", at positions 1431 to 2925 of the family's 2925-position model. The record is from RNAcentral.